CUUGCUUCUCCUAACUAAAACUCUUCCACCAUUAAAUAUAUAAUUAGUUGGCAAUUUGGCAUCCAACAUGUGUAUUCGCAUAUAUCUCUUAGUUACUCUAAUUAACAUUCCCAAUAAUAUAGUCUUUCGUGCUGAUGAUUUUCAAUAAAAUGCACCAAACAUGUCUAUUACUUGUUUUUAACAAAAUGUGAUCAACUAUAUUUAAUUAGCUGUUUUCCUGAUCAGCUGAUAUAUAGUGCUGGGAAUCAGACAAAGAAUCAAAGUGGUCUAAGGUAUUUUAUUUCUAUAUAUCUCCUUCAAAAACUUUUAUUUGGGAAGAAAAACGUCCAAGGUAUCGCUGAUAUUAUAUUAUCGUAUAUGUACCAACAACAAGAAUAGCUUUAAAUGAAAAACACUUAAAUAUCUUAUUUGUCAAAAAGAAAGAAAAAAAAAAUUAUAGCUUGAAAGAAGAUAAGAGAAAUGAGAUUGGCAUUUGCCGUGUCGCUCCUUCAGCCAGUCUCACUCUAGCUCUCCCUUUCGACGAGUUAUUAUCAUUUGGCCAUAGCAUUGUAUCAAGAGCCAAUACGCAAACUUAUAUUCGUUUUCCACUAUUAGAAACAACUAAACAACGAUUUGUAACGCACGUACAAUCACAGGCUCGUGUGAUGUAGAUCAUUUGCACAUUUCUAAUUGGUUGACUGAUUCUCUGCGAAGAGAAGUAUCGAGACCUUAAGUAUCAAAAAAGUAUCAAGA
Molecule: long non-coding RNA, 732 nt
Filed under: Brassica rapa (field mustard)
Lineage: Eukaryota; Viridiplantae; Streptophyta; Magnoliopsida; Brassicales; Brassicaceae
Description: long non-coding RNA (BRAP_LNC007545)
Source: RNAcentral